Molecule: long non-coding RNA, 1555 nt
Organism: Symphalangus syndactylus (siamang)
Lineage: Eukaryota; Metazoa; Chordata; Mammalia; Primates; Hylobatidae
Source: RefSeq, a predicted model, not a curated record
AUUCUCUCUUGUCUGUCGACAUGUAGGACAUGCCUCUUGCCUUCUGCCCUGAUUGUGAGGCUUCCCCAACCACGUGAAACAGGCACAAAGUAAGAAGAUGCUGGGAGACAGAAGCAUUUCGCUCUGGAAGCAGUUUUGGGUUCACACAAGGAAGAAAAAAAUUUAGAAGAUACACUCCCUACUCUAAGGUAGGGAUCCAGAUGUCAUUGGAGAAGGAGUGACUGUAGCCUACUGGAUAGUUGAGUAUUACAUGGAGGCAUCACAGGCUGAGGCUGGUAAGCAGGAGACUGCCCAUUGGAGUGCUGACAAAACUUUCCAGGAGGCUGCCUUCUAGGGUACUGAAAGUCACUAGCAAGCUGCCACUAGGACAACUCUGAGACAGCUGGGAAGCCAGCUGUGGUGCUGGUGGAGCUUGCUGGAAAUCCUACUGUGGAAUUUGCACUGAACUUCCUGGAAAACUGGCUGUGGUAUGUGUGGAAUUUGUUGAGAAGGCUACCUGCUGAAAUUAGACUGACCUCCCUAAAAAGCCCUCUAGGAUGCUGACAGAUCCAUGGGGUUUCAGGGCAACUCACGGAGAGGUAAAUAUCACCAGGUGCCCUGCAUAGAGAUCAGCACUGCAGCAGUAACAAAAGAGGAAUACAGUGAAACCAGAAAGAGAAGCCCCUUCCUCUGUAGUGUCCCUCCAGCGUCCUCUACCAACAAUUAUAGUUUAACAUCACACCAACUGGCAAAAGACCUAUGUUUACAGGAUGUGGAUCCAGUAUCAAAAAGCAGGCAAUAAAGGAUGGAUUUGUUGCUGAGAGGCAAUUUGUUGAUAACUGACAUAAACAACACUAAUAGCUUUCAUUGGUGGAAAUCUAGGUUGGUUGCAAUGAAUUAUACAAAUUAAAAGAAGUCUGCAGUCUUCCACGAUAGUUGAACUAAUUUACACUCCCACCAACGCGUAAAACCAUUUCUUUUUCUCCAUAACCUUACCAGCAUCUGUUAUGUUUUGACUUUUUAAUAAUAGCCAUUCUGACUGGUGUGAGAUGGUAUCUCAUUUGGUUUUGAUUUGCAUUUGUCUAAUGACCAGUGAUCUUGAGCUUUUUUAUCAUACGGUAGUUGGCUGCAUUUAUGUCUUCUUUUAAGAAGUGUCUUGAUCACGUCCUUUGCCCACUUUUUAAUGGAGUUGUUGGUUUUUGUUUUUGUUUUGUAAGUUUAAGUUGCUUACAGAUCCUGGAUAUUAGACCUUCAUCAGAUGCAUAGUUUGCAAAAAUUUUCUCCCAUUUUGUAGGUUGUCUGUAUACUCUAUUGAUAGUUUCAUUUGCUGUGUAGAAGCUCCCUAAUUAGAUCCCAUUUGUCAGUUUUGCUUUGUUGUAAUUGCUUUUGGCAUCUUUGUCAUGAAAUCAUUGCCUGUGUGUAUGUCCUGAAUAGUAUUGCCUACAAUAAAGUAUAACAGAUAAAAUGCAGGGGUAUCACUGACCUAACAACUCACAUACUCUAUGUUAUCUAUGGUUACCUAACAAUUCACCCCAAAAUUUAGGAGCUUAGAACAACACACAUUUAUUCUCUUGCA